This 463-nucleotide ribosomal RNA is filed under the name uncultured bacterium. RNAcentral describes it as "partial 16S ribosomal RNA". It matches the Rfam family "Bacterial small subunit ribosomal RNA", at positions 28 to 507 of the family's 1533-position model. The record is from RNAcentral.
GACGAACGCUGGCGGCGUGCUUAACACAUGCAAGUCGAACGGAAAGGCCUUUUCGGAGGUACUCGAGUGGCGAACGGGUGAGUAACACGUGGGUGAUCUGCCCUGCACUCUGGGAUAAGCCUGGGAAACUGGGUCUAAUACCGGAUAGGACCGCACUUUAGUGUGUGUGGUGGAAAGUUUUUUCGGUGUAGGAUGAGCCCGCGGCCUAUCAGCUUGUUGGUGGGGUAAUGGCCUACCAAGGCGGCGACGGGUAGCCGGACUGAGAGGUUGGUCGGCCACAUUGGGACUGAGAUACGGCCCAGACUCCUACGGGAGGCAGCAGUAGGGAAUAUUGCACAAUGGGCGCAAGCCUGAUGCAGCGACGCCGCGUGGGGGAUGACGGCCUUCGGGUUGUAAACUCCUUUCGCCAGGGACGAAGCGUUUUGUGACGGUACCUGGAGAAGAAGCACCGGCUAACUACGUG